UCCGUGAUGGUCCAGUGGUUAGGAUUACGGUCUCUCACACCGUAGGCCCGAGUUCGAUUCUCGGUCACGGAA
Trachipleistophora hominis is the source of this 72-nucleotide transfer RNA. It matches the Rfam family "tRNA". Rfam says of the family: Transfer RNA (tRNA) molecules are approximately 80 nucleotides in length. Their secondary structure includes four short double-helical elements and three loops (D, anti-codon, and T loops). Further hydrogen bonds mediate the characteristic L-shaped molecular structure. tRNAs have two regions of fundamental functional importance: the anti-codon, which is responsible for specific mRNA codon recognition, and the 3' end, to which the tRNAs corresponding amino acid is attached (by aminoacyl-tRNA synthetases). tRNAs cope with the degeneracy of the genetic code in two manners: having more than one tRNA (with a specific anti-codon) for a particular amino acid; and 'wobble' base-pairing, i.e. permitting non-standard base-pairing at the 3rd anti-codon position. The record is from Rfam. Lineage: Eukaryota; Fungi; Microsporidia; Pleistophoridae.